RNAcentral lists this ribosomal RNA (324 nucleotides) under uncultured Blautia sp. Its description in RNAcentral is "bacterial SSU rRNA". It matches the Rfam family "Bacterial small subunit ribosomal RNA", at positions 579 to 902 of the family's 1533-position model. The record is from RNAcentral. Lineage: Bacteria; Bacillati; Bacillota; Clostridia; Lachnospirales; Lachnospiraceae.
CUGGACAAGUCUGAUGUGAAAGGCUGGGGCUCAACCCCGGGACUGCAUUGGAAACUGCCCGUCUUGAGUGCCGGAGAGGUAAGCGGAAUUCCUAGUGUAGCGGUGAAAUGCGUAGAUAUUAGGAGGAACACCAGUGGCGAAGGCGGCUUACUGGACGGUAACUGACGUUGAGGCUCGAAAGCGUGGGGAGCAAACAGGAUUAGAUACCCUGGUAGUCCACGCGGUAAACGAUGAAUGCUAGGUGUCGGGUGACAAAGUCAUUCGGUGCCGCCGCAAACGCAUUAAGCAUUCCACCUGGGGAGUACGUUCGCAAGAAUGAAACUC